Molecule: ribosomal RNA, 282 nt
Filed under: uncultured bacterium
Lineage: Bacteria
Description: partial 16S ribosomal RNA
Rfam family: Bacterial small subunit ribosomal RNA
Source: RNAcentral
GUCCACGCCCUAAACGAUGCUUACUCGACGUAUGGCACUAGUUGUUGUGCGUCCAAGGGAAACCGUUAAGUAAGCCACCUGGGGAGUACGACCGCAAGGUUGAAACUCAAAGGAAUUGACGGGGUCGGCACAAGACGGUGGAGGCAUGUGGUUUAAGUUUACGUAUGAUAACGCCGAGGAACCGUUAACCCUUCGGGCGUAGAAUAGCGAGUGACGUCCCGGGAAACCCGGGAAGUUCCUUCCGGGGUCGACAAAGACAAGGUAGGCUGCAUGGCGUGUCGU